This 78-nucleotide transfer RNA is filed under the name soil metagenome. It matches the Rfam family "tRNA". From Rfam's summary of the family: Transfer RNA (tRNA) molecules are approximately 80 nucleotides in length. Their secondary structure includes four short double-helical elements and three loops (D, anti-codon, and T loops). Further hydrogen bonds mediate the characteristic L-shaped molecular structure. tRNAs have two regions of fundamental functional importance: the anti-codon, which is responsible for specific mRNA codon recognition, and the 3' end, to which the tRNAs corresponding amino acid is attached (by aminoacyl-tRNA synthetases). tRNAs cope with the degeneracy of the genetic code in two manners: having more than one tRNA (with a specific anti-codon) for a particular amino acid; and 'wobble' base-pairing, i.e. permitting non-standard base-pairing at the 3rd anti-codon position. RNAcentral also lists the same sequence under 1 other name. The record is from RNAcentral.
CUGGGCGUUCCGCAGAUGACGAUACGGACUUGCCUUGGGAGCAAGUUUUCGCUGGUUUGAAUCCAGCCGCCCAGACCA